Molecule: ribosomal RNA, 447 nt
Filed under: uncultured bacterium
Lineage: Bacteria
Description: bacterial SSU rRNA
Rfam family: Bacterial small subunit ribosomal RNA
Source: RNAcentral
UGGGGAAUCUUGGACAAUGGGCGCAAGCCUGAUCCAGCCAUGCCGCGUGAGUGACGAAGGUCUUCGGAUUGUAAAGCUCUUUUGGCGGGGACGAUAAUGACGGUACCCGCAGAAUAAGCCCCGGCUAACUUCGUGCCAGCAGCCGCGGUAAUACGAAGGGGGCUAGCGUUGUUCGGAAUUACUGGGCGUAAAGCGCACGUAGGCGGAUCUAUAAGUCAGGGGUGAAAUCCCGGGGCUCAACCUCGGAACUGCCUUUGAUACUGUAGAUCUCGAGUCCGGAAGAGGUGAGUGGAAUUCCUAGUGUAGAGGUGAAAUUCGUAGAUAUUAGGAAGAACACCAGUGGCGAAGGCGGCUCACUGGUCCGGUACUGACGCUGAGGUGCGAAAGCGUGGGGAGCAAACAGGAUUAGAUACCCACGUAGUCCCUGAGCGGGCUGGCAAGGCGCAU